Molecule: ribosomal RNA, 247 nt
Filed under: uncultured Actinomycetales bacterium
Lineage: Bacteria; Bacillati; Actinomycetota; Actinomycetes; Actinomycetales
Description: partial 16S ribosomal RNA
Rfam family: Bacterial small subunit ribosomal RNA
Source: RNAcentral
GGUGCUCGAGUGGCGAACGGGUGAGUAACACGUGAGUAACCUGCCCUUGACUUUGGGAUAACUUCAGGAAACUGGGGCUAAUACCGAAUAGGAGCUCCUGCUGCAUGGUGGGGGUUGGAAAGUUUCGGCGGUUGGGGAUGGACUCGCGGCUUAUCGGCUUGUUGGUGGGGUAGUGGCUUACCAAGGCUUUGACGGGUAGCCGGCCUGAGAGGGUGACCGGCCACAUUGGGACUGAGAUACGGCCCAG